This 1584-nucleotide long non-coding RNA is filed under the name Lathyrus oleraceus (garden pea). RNAcentral describes it as "Pisum sativum (pea) long non-coding RNA (PSAT_LNC012487)". The record is from RNAcentral. Lineage: Eukaryota; Viridiplantae; Streptophyta; Magnoliopsida; Fabales; Fabaceae.
AAUCGAGGAAAACAAUAAAUUUCUCAAUGUUUUCUUCGAUUGACAACAUAGGAAAGUUAUUACAAAAAAAAAACACCAACUUCAUUAUCUAAGAUAGAUUGCAAGGGCAAAAAAAGAUUUUGUUUAAGACAUAAGAACAUUGAAGAUUUUUUCUGUGUUACAAUCCAUCCCAAAGAAUGAUGUCCAACACUUUGGAGCAUCUACAUAUAAGUAAAGUUUAUGAUAAAAUUUGAUUAACAAGUGCUUUUAUAGUAAAAUAGGACAAUCUAAUCCCUCAACUAUUAAAUAUAAACGAAAGUAUAGAUAAUUAAUUAAAAAAUUUUAAAAUAAAAUAAAAAGAAAUAGAUCACUUUUAAAGAAAUAAAAACAUAAAGGGUUGUUGUUAGGAUUCAAAGCAUGUCGUGAAUUAUUUUUCCCUUCACUUAUAUUUAUAAACCAAAGGAAUAUGUGUUAUUUAUUUAAAAAAGAAUAAAACAUGGCGUGUCUUGGCAUUUUACCUCGGUUUUUGGUUGGGUAAGGUGAAAGCUUUAUCAUGAAAUAUAUUAUUUGUAGUAGUGUAUCCUUAAGAAAGUGUGGGUAGAUAUCACCUUUAUUUGGGACUUCAGGUGGAAGAGGUCUUUCUUCAUUCAUGAGGAACCAAUUGUUGUUGAAUUUCUCUUGGUCAGCCGAUGCCAUAUAUUUUCUCUGGGUAAAGAUAACUAGAUUUGGAAGAUUGCUAUGGAUGAUACUUUCUCGGUGUUCCCUGCUUAUCAUUCUCUUUUGCCUUCUAAUUUUUAAGUCAUUCCUCCUCCACAUACAGGUUUUCUCUUCCUCACAUUUGCAGUAAUUGGGAAACUUCUAAGGUGACUAUUUUCUCUUCGAAGCUUUUCCUUUAUAAUUUUGCUUAUAGGUAUAACUUUUUUAAGAGAGAGGUGAUUGUUGACCCUGGUCUUACAAUGUGUCUUAUUUGUCGUGUUUUUGUCAAGUUCGCUUCUCACAUGUCUGUUACUAGUGACUUAGUUAGUACUGGCUAGUAUAAGAUUCUUAGCUGGUUGGGGUGACAAAUAGUUCAUCCUAGGGAUCCUAGUCUUCUCUUCGACAAUUUUCUUUAUUUAGGUUGCAAGAAAAAGUCUAUGAGAGAUUUCUCUAUGAUUUGGAAAUACUGUAGUCCUGACCAUUUGCAAGAGCCAAAAUGAGAUUAUGUUUUUUUGUUCCACAAUAAACAUGAAAGAAGGGGAUGCGAGAAGUGUUUUUUUUUUUGUAAAUGGGUUUUUGGUAGAUCGGGGGGAACUCUUGCACCUUCAAAGAUUGACUUUAGAAUCAUAUCCUUUGGUUGUCUUUCAUUUGGUGUUAGUGGUCCGACUGACUUGAGCUCUAGCUUAAUACUCCUGUGUAGUUCUUAGAUGGUAGUUUUCUUGGAGUUAGCUUUCGUUGCCUGUUUGUUUUUUGCCAUGUAGCUUUCUCAUCAUAUAUUUGUAUUUGUUUGAUUUUUUCGGUGUAACUUUUGGUAUAUUUUGUGUCGACCAUCUACUCAUUUGUAUUUUGUUUGAGCUUUUUAUCCCUUUUAUCAUUAAUAUUAAUUUUCUUUUUAAAAAAUAAAUAAAU